GACGAACGCUGGCGGCGUGCUUAACACAUGCAAGUCGAACGGAAAGGCCCUGCUUUUGUGGGGUGCUCGAGUGGCGAACGGGUGAGUAACACGUGAGUAACCUGCCCUUGACUUUGGGAUAACUUCAGGAAACUGGGGCUAAUACCGGAUAGGAGCUCCUGCUGCAUGGUGGGGGUUGGAAAGUUUCGGCGGUUGGGGAUGGACUCGCGGCUUAUCAGCUUGUUGGUGGGGUAGUGGCUUACCAAGGCUUUGACGGGUAGCCGGCCUGAGAGGGUGACCGGCCACAUUGGGCCUGAGAUACGGCCCAGACUCCUACGGGAGGCAGCAGUGGGGAAUAUUGCACAAUGGGCGGAAGCCUGAUGCAGAAACGCCGCGUGCGGGAUGACGGCCUUCGGGUUGUAAACCGCUUUCGCCUGUGACGAAGCGUGAGUGACGGUAAUGGGUAAAGAAGCACCGGCUAACUACGUG
This 468-nucleotide ribosomal RNA is filed under the name uncultured bacterium. RNAcentral describes it as "partial 16S ribosomal RNA". It matches the Rfam family "Bacterial small subunit ribosomal RNA", at positions 28 to 507 of the family's 1533-position model. The record is from RNAcentral.